Molecule: non-coding RNA, 24 nt
Filed under: Arabidopsis thaliana (thale cress)
Lineage: Eukaryota; Viridiplantae; Streptophyta; Magnoliopsida; Brassicales; Brassicaceae
Source: RNAcentral
UAUGAAAUAUUGGAUAGACCGCAC